GCGGAGGAAAAGAAACUAACAAGGAUUCCCCUAGUAACGGCGAGUGAAGAGGGAAGAGCCCAAGAUUGAAAGCUGGCGUCUUCGGCGUCCGCAUUGUAAUCUCAAGAAGUGUUUUCCGCUUCGGACCAUGCCUAAGUCCCUUGGAAAAGGGCAUCAUAGAGGGUGAUAAUCCCGUACAUGGCAUGGAGCGCCCGAAGCUUUGUGAUACGCUUUCUAAGAGUCGAGUUGUUUGGGAAUGCAGCUCAAAAUGGGUGGUAAAUGCCAUCUAAGGCUAAAUAUUGGGGAGAGACCGAUAGCGAACAAGUACAGUGAUGGAAAGAUGAAAAGAACUUUGAAAAGAGAGUUAAACAGUACGUGAAAUUGCCAAAAGGGAAGGGUAGGAGGUCAGAGAUGCGGCCUAGGAUUCAGCCUUGCUUUUGCUUGGUGUUUUUCCUAGGUUGCAGGCCAACGUCGGUUUUGGGCACUGGAGAAGGGUGGAAGGAAUGUGGCACCUCUCGGGGUGUGUUAUAGCCUUCUACUGGAUACAGCGACCGAGACCGAGGACAGCAGCGUACUCGCAAGAGCGGGCUUCGGGCACCUUUACGCUUAGGACGUUGGCAUAAUGGCCCUCUACCACCCGUCUUGAAACAC
Molecule: ribosomal RNA, 630 nt
Filed under: Ustilago davisii
Lineage: Eukaryota; Fungi; Basidiomycota; Ustilaginomycetes; Ustilaginales; Ustilaginaceae
Description: LSU rRNA
Rfam family: Eukaryotic large subunit ribosomal RNA
Source: RNAcentral